RNAcentral lists this ribosomal RNA (399 nucleotides) under Salmonella enterica. RNAcentral's name for it is "bacterial SSU rRNA". It matches the Rfam family "Bacterial small subunit ribosomal RNA", at positions 1123 to 1522 of the family's 1533-position model. The record is from RNAcentral. Lineage: Bacteria; Pseudomonadati; Pseudomonadota; Gammaproteobacteria; Enterobacterales; Enterobacteriaceae. RNAcentral also lists the same sequence under 3 other names.
GAUUAGGUCGGGAACUCAAAGGAGACUGCCAGUGAUAAACUGGAGGAAGGUGGGGAUGACGUCAAGUCAUCAUGGCCCUUACGACCAGGGCUACACACGUGCUACAAUGGCGCAUACAAAGAGAAGCGACCUCGCGAGAGCAAGCGGACCUCAUAAAGUGCGUCGUAGUCCGGAUUGGAGUCUGCAACUCGACUCCAUGAAGUCGGAAUCGCUAGUAAUCGUGGAUCAGAAUGCCACGGUGAAUACGUUCCCGGGCCUUGUACACACCGCCCGUCACACCAUGGGAGUGGGUUGCAAAAGAAGUAGGUAGCUUAACCUUCGGGAGGGCGCUUACCACUUUGUGAUUCAUGACUGGGGUGAAGUCGUAACAAGGUAACCGUAGGGGAACCUGCGGUUGGA